ACCUGUAGCUUUUGUUUUUUGUUAAAUCUCACUAACUAUAUAGCACUGGACUGGAUCAGUACUUGGAUGGGAGACUUCGCAGGAAAAUCUACGGUGCUGCAGGAG
RNAcentral lists this ribosomal RNA (105 nucleotides) under Chelonoidis abingdonii (Abingdon island giant tortoise). Lineage: Eukaryota; Metazoa; Chordata; Testudines; Testudinidae. The record is from RNAcentral.